UGGGGAAUUUUGGACAAUGGGGGAAACCCUGAUCCAGCCAUCCCGCGUGUGCGAUGAAGGCCUUCGGGUUGUAAAGCACUUUUGGCAGGAAAGAAACGUCGCGGGUUAAUACCCCGCGAAACUGACGGUACCUGCAGAAUAAGCACCGGCUAACUACGUGCCAGCAGCCGCGGUAAUACGUAGGGUGCAAGCGUUAAUCGGAAUUACUGGGCGUAAAGCGUGCGCAGGCGGUUCGGAAAGAAAGAUGUGAAAUCCCAGAGCUUAACUUUGGAACUGCAUUUUUAACUACCGGGCUAGAGUGUGUCAGAGGGAGGUGGAAUUCCGCGUGUAGCGGUGAAAUGCGUAGAUAUGCGGAGGAACACCGAUGGCGAAGGCAGCCUCCUGGGAUAACACUGACGCUCAUGCACGAAAGCGUGGGGAGCAAACAGGAUUAGAUACCCUGGUAGUCCACGCCCUAAACGAUGUCAACUAGCUGUUGGGGCCUUCGGGCCUUGGUAGCGCAGCUAACGCGUGAAGUUGACCGCCUGGGGAGUACGGUCGCAAGAUUAAAACUCAAAUGAAUUGAC
Molecule: ribosomal RNA, 566 nt
Filed under: uncultured bacterium
Lineage: Bacteria
Description: partial 16S ribosomal RNA
Rfam family: Bacterial small subunit ribosomal RNA
Source: RNAcentral